AUUUAGAUAGAUUAAGUAAAUCGUACCGCUGAAGAUGGUAAAAUAAAUAAAUUUUCUAAAUA
Molecule: transfer RNA, 62 nt
Filed under: Whitmania laevis
Lineage: Eukaryota; Metazoa; Annelida; Clitellata; Hirudinida; Haemopidae
Description: tRNA-Phe
Source: RNAcentral